This 1247-nucleotide ribosomal RNA is filed under the name metagenome. Its description in RNAcentral is "bacterial LSU rRNA". It matches the Rfam family "Bacterial large subunit ribosomal RNA", at positions 1562 to 2818 of the family's 2925-position model. The record is from RNAcentral.
CGUGAUACGAGACGCUACGGCGUUGAAGCAGUGUAUGUCAGACUUCCAAGAAAAGCUCGCAAUGUCAUAAACAAAUAAUGCCUGUACCAUAACCGACACAGGUGGGUAGGUAGAGUAUACUAAGGGGCGCGAGAUAACUCUCUCUAAGGAACUCGGCAAAAUGACUCCGUAACUUCGGGAGAAGGAGUGCCUUAUUUUUAUAAGGUUGCAAUAACAAGAUCCAAGCAACUGUUUACCAAAAACACAGGUCUCCGCUAAGUCGUAAGACGAUGUAUGGGGGCUGACGCCUGCCCAGUGCCAGAAGGUUAAAGAAGUUGGUUAGCAAUAGCGAAGCUGAUAACUGAAGCCCUGGUGAACGGCGGCCGUAACUAUAACGGUCCUAAGGUAGCGAAAUUCCUUGUCGGGUAAGUUCCGACCCGCACGAAAGGCGUAAUGACUUGGAUGCUGUCUCGGAGAGGGGCUCGGUGAAAUAGACUUGUCUGUGAAGAUGCGGACUACCUGCACCAGGACAGAAAGACCCUAUGAAGCUUUACUGUAACUUGAAAUUGAAAUUGGACUUUACUUGCGCAGUAUAGGUGGGAGGCGUUGAUUUUAUUCUUGCGGGAAUUUAGGAGCCAUCAGUGAGAUACCACUCUGGUAAUGUUAGAUUUCUAACUUUGUAUCAUAAUCUGGUCAAAGAACAGUUUCAGGCGGGCAGUUUGACUGGGGCGGUCGCCUCCCAAACGGUAACGGAGGCGUACAAAGGUUUCCUCUGAACGUGUAGAAAUCGUAUCUAGAGUGUAAAGGCAUAAGGAAGCUUGACUGUGAGACCUACAAGUCGAGCAGGGACGAAAGUCGGUCUUAGUGAUCUGACGGUGCUGAGUGGAAAGGCCGUCACUCAACGGAUAAAAGUUACUCUAGGAUAACAGGCUGAUCUCCCCCAAGAGUUCACAUCGACGGGGAGGUUUGGCACCUCGAUGUCGGCUCAUCGCAUCCUGGGGCGGUAGUACGUCCCAAGGGUUGGGCUGUUCGCCCAUGAAAGCGGUACGCGAGCUGGGUUCAGAACGUCGUGAGACAGUUCGGUCCAUAUCCGGUGUAGGCGUUAGAAUAUUGAGAGGAUCCUUCUUUAGUACGAGAGGACCGAGAAGGACAUACCUCUGGUGUACCAGUUAUCGUGCCAACGGUAAACGCUGGGUAGCUAUGUAUGGAAAGGAUAACCGCUGAAAGCAUCUAAGUGGGAAGCCUACCUCAAGAUAAGUAUUCUCAUC